GACGAACGCUGGCGGCGUGCUUAACACAUGCAAGUCGAACGGAAAGGCCCUGCUUUUGUGGGGUGCUCGAGUGGCGAACGGGUGAGUAACACGUGAGUAACCUGCCCUUGACUUUGGGAUAACUUCAGGAAACUGGGGCUAAUACCGGAUAGGAGCUCCUGCUGCAUGGUGGGGGUUAGAAAUUUUCGGCGGUUGGGGAUGGACUCGCGGCUUAUCAGCUUGUUGGUGGGGUAGUGGCUUACCAAGGCUUUGACGGGUAGCCGGCCUGAGAGGGUGACCGGCGACAUUGGGACUGAGAUACGGCCCAGACUCCUACGGGAGGCAGCAGUGGGGAAUAUUGCACAAUGGGCGGAAGCCUGAUGCAGCAACGCCGCGUGCGGGAUGACGGCCUUCGGGUUGUAAACCGCUUUCGCCUGUGACGAAGCGUGAGUGACGGUAAUGGGUAAAGAAGCACCGGCUAACUACGUG
This 468-nucleotide ribosomal RNA is filed under the name uncultured bacterium. RNAcentral's name for it is "partial 16S ribosomal RNA". It matches the Rfam family "Bacterial small subunit ribosomal RNA", at positions 28 to 507 of the family's 1533-position model. The record is from RNAcentral.